UAAAAUAAUUUGUGCAUCACUUGUUUCCAGUGUUAAAGAAAGCCUGGAUUAAGAUUUCAAUCUUAAUUCACAGACACGGUUGUGGAUACGUGGAACAAAUCAGCAGCAUCAUUCUUUGUUCUUCGCCCUGUACAUUCCAUUGAGUAUUCCUGGACAAGAGCAGAAAACAGAAAAUCAGACAGAUUUCAUGAAAUAGCUAGGAUUUCUUCUAGAUUGCCUCAUCCAAUGUCAACAGAUUCCCUAGAAAUAUGUGGAUCAAGAGUAGGAAAGAGCUCAGUUCUUGCCAUAUUGGCAAUCAGAAUAUGGAUUUUUCCAAGAAGAUUUUCCAGCUGAACAGUGUCAGCUUAAGGCCUUGCAGAAACCCUUUCUUGCUGUCACUCAUUUCCCAUCCUAUGAAAUAA
RNAcentral lists this long non-coding RNA (401 nucleotides) under Macaca mulatta (Rhesus monkey). RNAcentral's name for it is "lncRNA (ENSMMUG00000056999.1)". Lineage: Eukaryota; Metazoa; Chordata; Mammalia; Primates; Cercopithecidae. The record is from RNAcentral.